GACGAACGCUGGCGGCGUGCUUAACACAUGCAAGUCGAGCGGUAAGGCCCUUUCGGGGGUACACGAGCGGCGAACGGGUGAGUAACACGUGGGUGACCUGCCCUCAGCUCUGGGAUAAGCCUGGGAAACCGGGUCUAAUACUGGAUAUGACUCCAUGACGCAUGUUGUGGGGUGGAAAGCCUUGUGCGGCUGAGGAUGGGCCCGCGGCCUAUCAGCUUGUUGGGUGGGGUGAGGCCUACCAAGGCGACGACGGGUAGCCGGCCUGAGAGGGCGACCGGCCACACUGGGACUGAGACACGGCCCAGACUCCUACGGGAGGCAGCAGUGGGGAAUCUUGCGCAAUGGGCGAAAGCCUGACGCAGCGACGCCGCGUGAGGGAUGACGGCC
RNAcentral lists this ribosomal RNA (387 nucleotides) under uncultured bacterium. RNAcentral describes it as "bacterial SSU rRNA". It matches the Rfam family "Bacterial small subunit ribosomal RNA", at positions 28 to 416 of the family's 1533-position model. The record is from RNAcentral.